Molecule: long non-coding RNA, 1226 nt
Organism: Camelus dromedarius (Arabian camel)
Lineage: Eukaryota; Metazoa; Chordata; Mammalia; Artiodactyla; Camelidae
Exons: 3
Source: RefSeq, a predicted model, not a curated record
GGUCCGGGGCCUGGCCCCGGGGAGCAGCCGUUGGCUCGAGACGCCGCCUGUUCGCCGUGGCUUUCUCUGUGUGACUCUGAGGCUCGGAAAAGGCCAAAGGCGCUUUAGAAUUCAGUAAAAGGCCGCGACCCGGCAGCCGCCCGGCCGAGCGCAGACUUGGACCUCUCAUCCCCACUCCCGGGACUUGCAAAAGGUUUCACAGCGAGGAAGCUGACAGAGGCCAAAACUGGAGCGAAAGUGCAAGAGCUUCCAGCUGUUCUUUGGAACGUGAGGUGUUAUAGAGAAGGAUACUUGUGGAAAAGAUACCCAUGGAAAGGAUCAUAAAUCAUAUGAAGUUGAAAAACAAAAAAGCUUGUCUCCUUCGAGCCGGAGUCGAACCAGCGACCUAAGGAUGACUUCCAAAGAGAAAGUGUAUUGUGGAUGAAACUUUGAGUGGAGAUAAAUCUGGACAACAUCUCAGGAGUGGGAGAUAUUGGGUACCAGAGCAGAUUGCUUAGAAGUAAGAAGAAAAGAAACCCUCCCCAGGCUGGAGAACAACUGGAAAGUCCAUAUCUAAAAAUAAACAAAGCAAACCAAUAAACACCCUCUAAUGUUACAUUUCCUCAGUGAGGUGAGUGGUAGAUAUUUUUGUUGAAAUGAUGAUUGGCAAAUCAAUUUAAUUCCUAAGAUAUUGAGGAUCCUACCCUUUAAAGGACUUCAAAGGGAGGAUACACUGUCUUUACUCUUCAUUUAAAUUCUGUCAGUUAUAGAAUUAUAAAACCAAAUCUCUAAACCCAUCUUUCACCUUGAGGCAGUUGCUAAACCUGGUAAACUUGAGCCUUAGUUUUCACCAUCUUGUGGGGAUGAAGACUGGGCCACCACAUGUCAUAAAGACUAUUGUGUAUAUCUAUAUGAAAAAUACCUCCCAGAGCUGUGCAGGACAAUUGCAUAUAUAGCCCUGGUUGGAAGAGAAGUCAAAACUCUGCAUGCCAAGAAGAGAAGCCUUAAGGAAACCAAUCCUGUGACACCUUGAUCUUUGACUUCUAACUUCCAGAAUUCUAAGAGAGUAAAUUUCUGGUUUUCAAGUCACCCAGUUUGUAGUGCUUUGUUACAGCAGCCCUGAAAUACUAAUAACAGACAACAAAUUAACUUUACUUAGUGAUCAGACAUGGAACAGUGAACCUAACAAAUGUAAAAUGUACUGUUUUGAAGCAAUGUGGAACAUUUGUAAAAUUGAUUAAGUUCUA